This 345-nucleotide ribosomal RNA is filed under the name uncultured bacterium. Its description in RNAcentral is "bacterial SSU rRNA". It matches the Rfam family "Bacterial small subunit ribosomal RNA", at positions 8 to 334 of the family's 1533-position model. The record is from RNAcentral.
AGAGUUCGAUUAUGGCUCAGGACGAACGCUGGCGGCGCGCUUAACACAUGCAAGUCGAACGGAGUUUGUUUUCGGAAGCCUUCGGGUGGAAGAGGAUAAACUUAGUGGCGAACGGGUGAGUAACGCGUGAGCAACCGGUCCCAAAGAGGGGGACAACUUUGAGAAAUCAAGGCUAAUACCGCGUAAGACCACACUGCCGCAUGGCAGAGGGGUCAAAGGAGAAAUCCGCUUUGGGGAGGGCUCGCGUCCCAUUAGGUAGUUGGUGAGGUAACGGCUCACCAAGCCGACGAUGGGUAGCCGUGCUGAGAGGCAGGCCGGCCACACUGGAACUGAGACACGGUCCAG